Molecule: ribosomal RNA, 120 nt
Filed under: Penicillium steckii
Lineage: Eukaryota; Fungi; Ascomycota; Eurotiomycetes; Eurotiales; Aspergillaceae
Source: RNAcentral
ACAUACGACCAUAGGGUGUGGAGAACAGGGCUUCCCGUCCGCUCAGCCGUACUUAAGCCACACGCCGGCAGGUUAGUAGUAUGGUGGGUGACCACAUGCGAAUCCCUCCUGUUGUAUGUU